This 520-nucleotide ribosomal RNA is filed under the name uncultured Glomeromycotina. RNAcentral's name for it is "SSU rRNA". It matches the Rfam family "Eukaryotic small subunit ribosomal RNA", at positions 569 to 1090 of the family's 1831-position model. The record is from RNAcentral. Lineage: Eukaryota; Fungi; Glomeromycota.
AGCAGCCGCGGUAAUUCCAGCUCCAAUAGCGUAUAUUAAAGUUGUUGCAGUUAAAAAGCUCGUAGUUGAAUUUCGGGGUCAGUAGGUUGGUCGUGCCACUGGUAUGUACUGGCUUCGCUGAUUCCUCCCUCUUGUAGAACCGUAAUGCCAUUAAUUUGGUGUUGCGGGGAAACAGGACUGUUACUUUGAAAAAAUUAGAGUGUUUAAAGCAGGCUAACGCUUGAAUACAUUAGCAUGGAAUAAUGAAAUAGGACGUUUGAUCCUAUUUUGUUGGUUUCUAGGAUUGACGUAAUGAUUAAUAGGGAUAGUUGGGGGCAUUAGUAUUCAAUUGUCAGAGGUGAAAUUCUUGGAUUUAUUGAAGACUAACUACUGCGAAAGCAUUUGCCAAGGAUGUUUUCAUUAAUCAAGAACGAAAGUUAGGGGAUCGAAGACGAUCAGAUACCGUCGUAGUCUUAACCAUAAACUAUGCCGACUAGGGAUCGGAUGAUGUUAAUUUUUUAAUGACUCAUUCGGCGCCUUA